GGCGAAAGGGAGAGUAACGCGUGGUUACAUGCCCUCGGGACCGGGAUAGCGGCGGGAAACUGCCGGUAAUACCGGAUAAUAUCUUUGGAUCAAAGGUGUGAUUCCGCCCGAGGAUUGGACCGCGUUCUAUUAGCUUGUUGGCGGGGUAAUGGCCCACCAAGGCGACGAUGGAUACCGGGUGUGAGAGCAUGGCCCGGCUCACUGGGACUGAGACACUGCCCAGACACCUACGGGUGGCUGCAGUCGAGAAUCUUCGGCAAUGGGGGCAACCCUGACCGAGCGACGCCGCGUGCGGGACGAAGGCCUUCGGGUUGUAAACCGCUGUCAGUUGGGAGGAAGUGCCGGGGGGUUCUCCCCUCGGUUUGACCGAUCUUCAGAGGAAGGACGGGCUAAGUUCGUGCCAGCAGCCGCGGUAAGACGAACCGUCCAAACGUUAUUCGGUAUCACUGGGCUUAAAGCGUGCGUAGGCGGCCUGGUAGGUGAGGUGUGAAAGCCCACGGCUCAACCGUGGAAUUGCGCUUCAAACCACCAGGCUGGAGGAUGGCAGGGGUGAUGGGAACUGAUGGUGGAGCGGUGAAAUGCGUUGAUAUCAUCAGGAACACCGGUGGCGAAGGCGCAUCACUGGGCCAUUUCUGACGCUGAGGCACGAAAGCUAGGGUAGCGAACGGGAUUAGAUACCCCGGUAGUCCUAGCUGUAAACGAUGAGCACUGGGUUGAGGGGACCUCCACAUCUUCUCGGCC
Molecule: ribosomal RNA, 741 nt
Filed under: uncultured Planctomycetaceae bacterium
Lineage: Bacteria; Pseudomonadati; Planctomycetota; Planctomycetia; Planctomycetales; Planctomycetaceae
Description: bacterial SSU rRNA
Rfam family: Bacterial small subunit ribosomal RNA
Source: RNAcentral